GGACGACUCUCUACAACGGAUAUCUCGGCUCUCACAUUGAUGAAGAACAAAGCGAAAUGCAAUACUUGGUGUGAAUUGCAGAAUCCUGUGAACCAUUAAGUCUUUGAAAGCAAGUUGCACCCGAGGCCACCCAGCCGAGGGCACGCCUGCUUGGGCAUCACGCACCGUGCUGCCCGCCACCGGCCUCGGCUGAGGCCAGAGAUUGGCCGACCGUGCUCCUUGGGGUAAGGCGGGAUGAAAGUUAUACCUUGAUUGCCCCUGGUGGGGCGUCGGCAUGGCGUUGGGUGGUCACUAGGGCCCUACAAGCUGAUGCGAUCGAACGCCGUGUACAUCGCUCCUGGGGCACCAAGGCACCCUAGAUUGAGACGUGACCCCAGGUCAAGCGGGGACACCCGCUGAGUUUAAGCAUAUAAAUAAAUGGAGGAAAAGAAACUUACGAGGAUUCCCCUAGUAACGGCGAGCAAAUC
RNAcentral lists this ribosomal RNA (467 nucleotides) under Miliusa cuneata. RNAcentral describes it as "eukaryotic LSU rRNA". The stretch from base 5 to 160 matches the Rfam family "5.8S ribosomal RNA". Lineage: Eukaryota; Viridiplantae; Streptophyta; Magnoliopsida; Magnoliales; Annonaceae. The record is from RNAcentral.